Molecule: ribosomal RNA, 536 nt
Filed under: Botryosphaeria dothidea
Lineage: Eukaryota; Fungi; Ascomycota; Dothideomycetes; Botryosphaeriales; Botryosphaeriaceae
Description: eukaryotic LSU rRNA
Rfam family: 5.8S ribosomal RNA (bases 163-316)
Source: RNAcentral
CCGGCCCGAUCCUCCCACCCUUUGUGUACCUACCUCUGUUGCUUUGGCGGGCCGCGGUCCUCCGCGGCCGCCCCCCUCCCCGGGGGGUGGCCAGCGCCCGCCAGAGGACCAUCAAACUCCAGUCAGUAAACGAUGCAGUCUGAAAAACAUUUAAUAAACUAAAACUUUCAACAACGGAUCUCUUGGUUCUGGCAUCGAUGAAGAACGCAGCGAAAUGCGAUAAGUAAUGUGAAUUGCAGAAUUCAGUGAAUCAUCGAAUCUUUGAACGCACAUUGCGCCCUUUGGUAUUCCGAAGGGCAUGCCUGUUCGAGCGUCAUUACAACCCUCAAGCUCUGCUUGGUAUUGGGCACCGUCCUUUGCGGGCGCGCCUCAAAGACCUCGGCGGUGGCGUCUUGCCUCAAGCGUAGUAGAACAUACAUCUCGCUUCGGAGCGCAGGGCGUCGCCCGCCGGACGAACCUUCUGAACUUUUCUCAAGGUUGACCUCGGAUCAGGUAGGGAUACCCGCUGAACUUAAGCAUAUCAAUAAGCGGAGGAA